UACGAAGGGUGCAAACGUUGCUCGGAAUUAUUGGGCGUAAAGCGCACGUAGGCGGCUUAGCAAGUUGGAUGUGAAAUCCCUCGGCUUAACCAAGGAAGUGCAUCCAAAACUGCUGAGCUUGAGUAUUUAAGAGGAUCGCGGAAUUCCCGGUGUAGAGGUGAAAUUCGUAGAUAUCGGGAGGAACACCAGUGGCGAAGGCGGCGAUCUGGGAAGAUACUGACGCUGAGGUGCGAAAGCGUGGGGAGCAAACAGG
This 253-nucleotide ribosomal RNA is filed under the name uncultured bacterium. RNAcentral's name for it is "partial 16S ribosomal RNA". It matches the Rfam family "Bacterial small subunit ribosomal RNA", at positions 524 to 776 of the family's 1533-position model. The record is from RNAcentral.